This 218-nucleotide unclassified non-coding RNA is filed under the name Hevea brasiliensis (rubber tree). Lineage: Eukaryota; Viridiplantae; Streptophyta; Magnoliopsida; Malpighiales; Euphorbiaceae. The record is from RNAcentral.
AAAAAUAAAAUAAAAAUAAAAAAUUUGACAAUUGGAAAACAAUGUACAAACAAAGAAGUCUUGCAACUUUGAUUGGAAUCUCACAAACACUCAAGGUAUAAGGUGGAGGAAUUUUCAAUAUGAAUUCUCCGUCAUAUAAAGAACAAUAAAGAGUCAUACUAGUGCUUCUAAUUCACAAACCAUUCUCAUUAAUCCCCAAAAGACAACUGAUCUCACCA